This 24-nucleotide non-coding RNA is filed under the name Arabidopsis thaliana (thale cress). Lineage: Eukaryota; Viridiplantae; Streptophyta; Magnoliopsida; Brassicales; Brassicaceae. The record is from RNAcentral.
AGAUUUCACUUGUGGUAUACCGUC